UAGAUCGUGCAGACAUUACAAGACCGAGAAAAGUAAAGCUCUUCAAUUCGGGCAUUCAUCAACGAUAAACUUGUACGGCUGACAGCAAGAAGAAGCGCUCACGAGAAUCAUGUCCAACUUGGCUAUCUUUGGGUUAUUGCUUGGUUUGGCUUUGUUUUGUGGAGAAUACAAGGCCGAGACCUGUACAAGUGUAGCUGAUUGCUCGAACACGAUGUGUAACCCUGGUUGGGAAGUCAUUUGUACAACAACGGUACCCAGAACGUGCACGUGUAGUUCGAUUGUAUAUAGUUGCACAGUUAAAGCGGACUGCGAGUACCUGUAUACUAAUGGUUCUUUGACCGAUUGUAUUUCCGCCGGCCACGCCCACUGCUACGACGCCAAAUGCAUUUGUACACAUUUCUAAUUUCGUUUGAAAUAUUCAUUGUUUCGAAUGGAGUCUUUAUUUACCA
Molecule: long non-coding RNA, 449 nt
Organism: Mya arenaria
Lineage: Eukaryota; Metazoa; Mollusca; Bivalvia; Myida; Myidae
Exons: 3
Source: RefSeq, a predicted model, not a curated record